GAUGAACGCUGGCGGCGUGCCUAAUACAUGCAAGUCGAGCGAACGGACGAGAAGCUUGCUUCUCUGAUGUUAGCGGCGGACGGGUGAGUAACACGUGGAUGACCUACCUAUAAGACUGGGAUAACUUCGGGAAACCGGAGCUAAUACCGGAUAAUAUUUUGAACCGCAUGGUUCAAAAGUGAAAGACGGUCUUGCUGUCACUUAUAGAUGGAUCCGCGCUGCAUUAGCUAGUUGGUAAGGUAACGGCUUACCAAGGCAACGAUGCAUAGCCGACCUGAGAGGGUGAUCGGCCACCCUGGAGCUGAGACACGGUCCAGACUCCUACGGGAGGCAGCAGUAGGGAAUCUUCCGCAAUGGGCGAAAGCCUGACGGAGCAACGCCGCGUGAGUGAUGAAGGUCUUCGGAUCGUAAAACUCUGUUAUUAGGGAAGAACAUAUGUGUAAGUAACUGUGCACAUCUUGACGGUACCUAAUCAGAAAGCCACGGCUAACUACGUG
This 497-nucleotide ribosomal RNA is filed under the name uncultured bacterium. RNAcentral describes it as "partial 16S ribosomal RNA". It matches the Rfam family "Bacterial small subunit ribosomal RNA", at positions 28 to 507 of the family's 1533-position model. The record is from RNAcentral.